This 253-nucleotide ribosomal RNA is filed under the name uncultured bacterium. RNAcentral describes it as "partial 16S ribosomal RNA". It matches the Rfam family "Bacterial small subunit ribosomal RNA", at positions 524 to 776 of the family's 1533-position model. The record is from RNAcentral.
UACGUAGGUGGCGAGCGUUGUCCGGAUUUACUGGGCGUAAAGAGCGCGCAGGCGGCUGGUCAAGUCCGAUGUGAAAGCUCCCGGCUUAACUGGGAGAUUGCAUCGGAAACUGAUCGGCUGGAAGGUGGGAGAGGGUAGCGGAAUUCCCGGUGUAGUGGUGAAAUGCGUAGAUAUCGGGAGGAACACCAGUGGCGAAAGCGGCUACCUGGCCCAUUCUUGACGCUGAGGCGCGAAAGCUAGGGGAGCAAACGGG